CAAUGACAGUGCAAAGAAAACGGGCAUGAAGCAGCAAAAGCCCUGGAUCUCUGUGACACCAGCAUCCUUGGAUGUGCAUGGAAGCAGCCAAGGAGAGGCACCCAGAGGUGAGAUCAGUUCAAACAGUUUGAUGUGGCUAUACUGACCAAACUGGAGCAACACAAAAUGUGGAUUUUUAUGGAGUAUGAACCAGCUCCCUGUAUCUUACCCUGAUCCUGAUCAAAUGCCACCUGAGGCCAGAGGAAAGGCUCUGCUUCUAAGUCCUAAAAUAAAAAUAUUAAUGUUUCUACCUUCAGCAAC
Long non-coding RNA from Onychostruthus taczanowskii (white-rumped snowfinch), 300 nucleotides. RefSeq lists it as uncharacterized. The record is from RefSeq and is a predicted model, not a curated record. Lineage: Eukaryota; Metazoa; Chordata; Aves; Passeriformes; Passeridae. The transcript is spliced from 3 exons.